This 460-nucleotide ribosomal RNA is filed under the name uncultured bacterium. Its description in RNAcentral is "partial 16S ribosomal RNA". It matches the Rfam family "Bacterial small subunit ribosomal RNA", at positions 338 to 795 of the family's 1533-position model. The record is from RNAcentral.
CCUACGGGCGGCAGCAGUGAGGAAUAUUGGUCAAUGGACGUAAGGCUGAACCAGCCAAGUCGCGUGAAGGAUGACGGACCUAUGGUUUGUAAACUUCUUUUAUAGGGGAAUAAAGGUAUCCACGUGUGGAUAUUUGCAUGUACCCUAUGAAUAAGCAUCGGCUAACUCCGUGCCAGCAGCCGCGGUAAUACGGAGGAUGCGAGCGUUAUCCGGAUUUAUUGGGUUUAAAGGGAGCGUAGGUGGUUUUUUAAGUCAGUGGUGAAAGUUUGUGGCUCAACCAUAAAAUUGCAGUUGAAACUGGCAGACUUGAGUAUAUUUGAGGUAGGCGGAAUGCGUGGUGUAGCGGUGAAAUGCUUAGAUAUCACGCAGAACUCCGAUUGCGAAGGCAGCUUACUAAGCCGUAACUGACACUGAGGCACGAAAGCGUGGGGAUCAAACAGGAUUAGAUACCCCUGUAGUC